This 2316-nucleotide long non-coding RNA is filed under the name Strigops habroptila (Kakapo). RNAcentral's name for it is "lncRNA (ENSSHBG00005001072.1)". The record is from RNAcentral. Lineage: Eukaryota; Metazoa; Chordata; Aves; Psittaciformes; Psittacidae.
AAGACAACCCGAAUGUCUUUAUUGAUUUCCUAUUUACAAAUCACAAAGCUGGCCAAAAGCAGAGUGUGAACACGGAACGAGAGCGUCGAUACAUUCAUCAAUACAGCACUGGAGCGGGGACAGGCCCGGCUCCGCUCGGAAGGUGACGUGGUACAACAGGAUGUCUCAUACUUCUGGGCACAAGCAUGUCCAACACUGAAUUACAUUCACCUAUCUACAGAAGCCAGGAUUGCAUUGAGCUGCGUAAAAGCCGUAAGAACAGAAGUUGCUCGAGUGCAGUUCAGUUUAACUCGUCCCCGCCUAAGCCACCAGACCUACCUCAUGGGUGACGGCAGGAGGAUGGAUUUGGGAAGAGAACCUGUGCGACAAAACUGCAGCAGAACCUGACUCUUCCUGGGAAGAGCAAGGCCUGAGCCCUGCGCUCCCCCCAGCCCUGGGCUCAGCUUUGCUGCUGCCAAAUUCCAACGAUUCCCACUAUUGCCACGUAUGUACAAAAGGCCCCAACGCAGCUCUCGGGUGCCAGCAGUGAAGUUCCCACCACCCCUGGGAAAAGGAGCAGGGUUGCGCAUCCUGACAGACACUUCCCUCUCCAGAAGGAGCGUGCCCGGACCAUGAAUCCAUCUCACAACAGUUUGCAUUGCACAGAGUCAGGUUCAAUCACUAAGUCAGUCAUGGACCCAUCUGGUUUUCUUCUCUUUUUUAGUACUGGCCAUAUCAAAAACAUCCUACCUCGAGCAGGCCGACAACAGACACAUCUUACAACGUCUUCCUAGAGAACGUAACACACUAUUGACAUCUCUACUAGCUACUGGUGAGGAGGUGCAGGGUGUUCCUGGCAGUAUUGCUGCUGGAGAUACCCGGCAGCCACAGGCUGAGGGCAGAGCCUGACCGCAGGGAGCAGGAGGAGGUGGCAUGUCCCCAGAGAGCAAGCAGGCACCGAGCUGUCCCCACCAGCAAAGGAUGAGGUUUCAGCUUUGAGCAGCUCCAUGCAGUGGUAACUGCUGCCCGGUGCGUUCCAGCAUGUGCCUGGAACCAGGGGGGAGGUUUGUGAAGGGGAACCUCAGCUCUGAGGCAGCACCACCCCUGCAGCAAGUCCCACAUGGACUAGGGAAGGCUCCGGCCAUGCUGCGAAGCAACACUUCGAUGACAGCUUCCUCUGCAGCGGAGGGAAUAGUCCCGUGGUGCUCGCCAGUGGGCAGUGACCAUGAGGCUGGGCAAGGACAAGUCACCCACCUCCCUCCCAGCAGGACAGCACUUCCCUGCUCAGCCACGGUCGUACCUGCUGGUGGGGAAAAGCAACCAGCCCUCAGCAGCUCAGAAGAGGCAUCUUCAAGAUGACCAAGCUCUGGGGCCCAAAGAGAGGCGACAUCUGUAACUCUCCCAUCCUGCUGCGCCUGUCCAGGCAGUUGGGCUGUGCAAGCACACACAGGCAAAGAGAAAAUCCUUAAUGUCUUCCUAAACUGCUUCAUAAAUCCCUGUCCAUCUGCUGUGUUAUCAGGGAAGGGGCAGUUGCACAUCAAGGCUCUCUGCCUACUGCACAUCUGACGUGGCCCAAGGCAGGUUUAGCAAUGCUCAGAACAGAGAGAAACUGCAUUGAAACGUGCAUGAGAGCAGCAGCAAUCACAGGAACAGGGGCAGGGCAGGCAGCUCCCCUGCUCCAACCAACAAACCCGGCACUAUCUGCAAAGGUCUCAGCACGGUGACAACUACUGUGGGCACCUUGAACCCUGCCUGGGGUGUCAGAGGAUCACCCCUUGUUUGGAACGCGCUGUGGAGCUUGGAGGCAGCACCCCCAGGCCCCAGCCUGCACCCAGGGCAGGGCCAAGCCCCUGCCCUGUCCCUGCUCCUCCAGGAGCUCCACUCACCGUCACCAAGGCCAAGGAUUGUCACAGAGCAGUGAGAGGAGCACGAGAACGCCUCAGUCUCUCCAGUUUUGAGGUCUCCCUCAAGACCAUGUAGUGCUGAAACAGCGAAGCCUCAGGGAAAAGGCCACUUCCCAAAACCUCCUGCGUGCGGCGGCUGGCGGGAGGGAAGGCGCUGGGCACGGGCUGGCCGAGCAGGAGAGGAUGGGGCCACCCAGCCCUCGAGUGUGUCUUUAUGCAGGAUUAUCUCCUCACAGCAAGUCUCACCACAACCAGAGCCACUCGUUUCCAUGCUUCUGACCGGUGGAAAAGCAUCUACAUUCAUUACAGUCCAAAAAACGCAUGUUGUUAGAUAGGAUUAACCAGGAAAGUGAAGAAUGACUAGCCACAGACACCUACAAAUGGUACUGGUGUACCAGUUAGUCUGGUACGUGAUAGCAGCAGAAUCACUAGC